UGGGGGAUCGUCCAAUGGUAGGACGACGGACUUUGAAUCCGUUAAUCUAGGUUCGAAUCCUAGUCCCCCAG
This 71-nucleotide transfer RNA is filed under the name Patescibacteria group bacterium. RNAcentral's name for it is "tRNA-Gln". It matches the Rfam family "tRNA". Rfam says of the family: Transfer RNA (tRNA) molecules are approximately 80 nucleotides in length. RNAcentral also lists the same sequence under 1 other name. The record is from RNAcentral.